UGACAAAACUCUUAUAUAAUUAUUUUUAUGAGUAUAUAGAUACACGUUUAAAUGCAUUACAUUAACAUACAUUCGUAAUCAAAUUUAAAUUUGUGGCAAAGACGUUUUAGACACCAGGAAGUGUAGAGUUACUUUUACUUUCUUUCUCUGACAAAAACAGCAAAAUGUGAUCGUUUACCUGUUUGAAGUGAGGGCUCACAGAGAAGAAAAACACAAAGAAGAGCAAAACUCGCGGUCGGGACAGUCGUACCCAUGGCUGGAAAGAUUUUAAUUCUCUGUAAACUAUCCUGAUAUUUACUGAAGUCUGAAUACAACUGCGCAACAACCGAACACAGAAACAGUCUGCUGUGAGAAGAUGGCGGAUGAUGCUGACAACUAAUUUCCUCAGGAAGUUGCUAAAGGCAGAUACCUAUUUUUUUUUUAUUGU
Carassius gibelio (silver crucian carp) is the source of this 427-nucleotide long non-coding RNA. RefSeq lists it as uncharacterized. The record is from RefSeq and is a predicted model, not a curated record. Lineage: Eukaryota; Metazoa; Chordata; Actinopteri; Cypriniformes; Cyprinidae. The transcript has 3 exons.